CAGUGGUUUAAUUCUUACCUCCGUGGAC
RNAcentral lists this small RNA (28 nucleotides) under Bombyx mori (domestic silkworm). RNAcentral describes it as "ovarian small RNA-13361". The record is from RNAcentral. Lineage: Eukaryota; Metazoa; Arthropoda; Insecta; Lepidoptera; Bombycidae.